CAUAUCGACGGCGGUGUUUGGCACCUCGAUGUCGGCUCAUCACAUCCUGGGGCUGAAGUAGGUCCCAAGGGUAUGGCUGUUCGCCAUUUAAAGUGGUACGCGAGCUGGGUUUAGAACGUCGUGAGACAGUUCGGUCCCUAUCUGCCGUGGGCGCUGGAGAACUGAGGGGGGCUGCUCCUAGUACGAGAGGACCGGAGUGGACGCAUCACUGGUGUUCGGGUUGUCAUGCCAAUGGCACUGCCCGGUAGCUAAAUGCGGAAGAGAUAAGUGCUGAAAGCAUCUAAGCACGAAACUUGCCCCGAGAUGAGUUCUCCCUGAGACUUUAGGUCUCCUGAAGGAACGUUGAAGACGACGACGUUGAUAGGCCGGGUGUGUAAGCGCAGCGAUGCGUUGAGCUAACCGGUACUAAUGAACCGUGAGGCUUAACCUU
RNAcentral lists this ribosomal RNA (430 nucleotides) under Salmonella enterica subsp. enterica serovar Montevideo. RNAcentral's name for it is "partial 23S ribosomal RNA". It matches the Rfam family "Bacterial large subunit ribosomal RNA", at positions 2501 to 2925 of the family's 2925-position model. The record is from RNAcentral. Lineage: Bacteria; Pseudomonadati; Pseudomonadota; Gammaproteobacteria; Enterobacterales; Enterobacteriaceae.